CAGCAGCCACGGUAAUACGAAGGGGGCUAGCGUUGUUCGGAAUUACUGGGCGUAAAGCACACGUAGGCGGAUCGAUCAGUCAGGGGUGAAAUCCCAGGGCUCAACCCUGGAACUGCCUUUGAUACUGUCGAUCUGGAGUAUGGAAGAGGUGAGUGGAAUUCCGAGUGUAGAGGUGAAAUUCGUAGAUAUUCGGAGGAACACCAGUGGCGAAGGCGGCUCACUGGUCCAUUACUGACGCUGAGGUGCGAAAGCGUGGGGAGCAAACAGGAUUAGAUACCCCUGUAGUCCCUGUCUCUUAUAC
RNAcentral lists this ribosomal RNA (301 nucleotides) under uncultured bacterium. Its description in RNAcentral is "partial 16S ribosomal RNA". It matches the Rfam family "Bacterial small subunit ribosomal RNA", at positions 509 to 807 of the family's 1533-position model. The record is from RNAcentral.